AAAAAAAUGGAGUUUACGUGGAAAAAACCGAAUUUUGGGAAAAAAUAGGCAAAAAAUCGGAGUUUGUGUGGAAACCUGGGGGAUUUUGGUGUGAUUUUGGGGGGUUUUGGGGGUUUUGGGGUGGCCCAGCACGACGUGGGCGAGCUGCAGCGGCGCUACGGCGAGUGAGAGCCGGGGCGAAAAAGGGCGGAUUCGGGCAAAGAGGGGAAAAAAAACCGGGGGGGGUUUGGGGAAUAAAUGGUGGAAAAGUGGCGGGUUUUGGUGGUUUUUUGGGGGGGUUUGGGGGGGUUAAGAAGAGCGGGAGAGGUCCGAGGGGUUUCUGGGUAAAAAUCCGGGAGUUUUGGGGAAAAAAAGCCGAAUUUUGGGGAAAAAUGUGGAAAUCUGGGCAAAAAGAGCCAAAAAAAUGGAGUUUGUGUGGAAAAAUUGGUGUUUUUUUGGGAGUUUAGGGGUUUUUUGGGUUUUUUUUGUGGGUGUCAGAAGGGCUGGGAGAGCUCCAGGAGCUGCCGAGAGAAUUGGGAGAAAAUCCGGGAGUUUUGGGGAAAAAACGGGGAAUUUUGGGGAAAAAAAUGCCGAA
Corvus hawaiiensis (hawaiian crow) is the source of this 574-nucleotide long non-coding RNA. RefSeq lists it as uncharacterized. NCBI's taxonomy places the organism in Eukaryota, Metazoa, Chordata, Aves, Passeriformes, Corvidae. The record is from RefSeq and is a predicted model, not a curated record. The transcript has 4 exons.